ACUCCUACGGGAGGCAGCAGUGGGGAAUAUUGCACAAUGGGCGCAAGCCUGAUGCAGCCAUGCCGCGUGUAUGAAGAAGGCCUUCGGGUUGUAAAGUACUUUCAGCAGUGAGGAAGGUGGGUAUGUUAAUAGCAUAUUCAUUUGACGUUAGCUGCAGAAGAAGCACCGGCUAACUCCGUGCCAGCAGCCGCGGUAAUACGGAGGGUGCGAGCGUUAAUCGGAAUUACUGGGCGUAAAGCGCAUGCAGGUGGUUUGUUAAGUCAGAUGUGAAAGCCCGGGGCUCAACCUCGGAAUUGCAUUUGAAACUGGCAAACUAGAGUACUGUAGAGGGGGGUAGAAUUUCAGGUGUAGCGGUGAAAUGCGUAGAGAUCUGAAGGAAUACCGGUGGCGAAGGCGGCCCCCUGGACAGAUACUGACACUCAGAUGCGAAAGCGUGGGGAGCAAACAGGAUUAGAUACCCUCGUAGGCUCUGC
Molecule: ribosomal RNA, 473 nt
Filed under: uncultured bacterium
Lineage: Bacteria
Description: bacterial SSU rRNA
Rfam family: Bacterial small subunit ribosomal RNA
Source: RNAcentral